AGAAUAGGGUCCAGAAAUCGUAACUUGACAGAACACAGAAUUUGAGUAGUUUUUGAAUAUUUUAAAAUCCUAUACACCUAAUCACAAGUUAAAAAUUUGUUUAAGUGAUAUAUAAGGUGAUAAAAAUGAAUAGUUUUAAAUUUAGCUCAAAAUUUCUCACUCUAAGCAUAAUAUUAAUUAAAUUAAGAAAAGAGAGAGUGAGUUGUCUAUUUGACAAAGGAAGCAAGCACAGCUUCAAGUGGUGAAGCUUGGUGCUAGAAUAUUGCCCAUCUUGAAUUCUUUUUGAAUAUAGAGAGAUCUAAAACACAAAACUCAAGAUAAAAAAUUAGUUCAAUAAUCUUAAUUAUUUGUUAUCAUCAAAAUCUAAUAGAAGAUUAGGGCCACUAGGCCAACAGUAGUUUCGUAUUUUCUUACUUUAGUGUCCUGUAAUUUAAAGUAUAUCAAAUUAAUAUUUUGUGAUUUCAUUUUUAUCUUUUCGUCAGCUUUUCCGUUAAUAUUUUGUUAAAUUAUAUACAAAAAAUUUCAUAUACCCCACCUAUGUUUAUCGAACAUUCACUUUAGUACCUUUUAGUUUUAACUUUAUCACUGAUUUAACGAAAAACAUAAGGGGAAUCGAUAAUAAAAAGAUAAAAAUGAAAUCACAGGGCACUAAAUUGAUACAUUUUAAACCAUAUAAUACUAAAUUGAGAAAAUGUGAACCACAUGGCUGAUAUUUAAAGUUUUUCUUAAAAAAAAUAAAUAAAAAAGAAAAAAUAAAAAAAUAAAUGUAAGAGAUGCUAAAGAAAAAAAUAGCAGCUGCUAUAGUAAAAAUAUAAGACUGUAAGUAUAAAAAAAUAAAAAUAAAAUUAUAAAAAUAAUAAAUUAUAUUCAAGUCGUAGUAAAAAUAUAAAAGAAAAAAAGUUAAAUAAGAA
Molecule: long non-coding RNA, 911 nt
Filed under: Ananas comosus (pineapple)
Lineage: Eukaryota; Viridiplantae; Streptophyta; Magnoliopsida; Poales; Bromeliaceae
Description: long non-coding RNA (ACOM_LNC017462)
Source: RNAcentral